Molecule: ribosomal RNA, 775 nt
Filed under: uncultured Neocallimastigales
Lineage: Eukaryota; Fungi; Neocallimastigomycota; Neocallimastigomycetes; Neocallimastigales
Description: partial large subunit ribosomal RNA
Rfam family: Eukaryotic large subunit ribosomal RNA
Source: RNAcentral
CGCAUCUGUGCAUGCAGCAUAUCAAUAAGCGGAGGAAAAGAAACUAACAAGGAUUCCCCUAGUAACGGCGAGUGAAGCGGGAAGAGCUCAAAUUUGAAAUCUUAAAGGGUUUCCCUUUACGAAUCGUAGUUUAAAGAAGUGUUUUCUGUUGAGGUUUUGGUAAAAGUUCUUUGGAAUAGGACAUCAUAGAGGGUGAGAAUCCCGUAUUUGACCUUUACUUUCAACUUUGUGAUACACUUUCAAAGAGUCGGAUUGUUUGGGAAUGCAGUCCAAAAUGGGUGGUAAAUUUCAUCUAAAGCUAAAUAUUGGCGAGAGACCGAUAGCGAACAAGUACCGUGAGGGAAAGAUGAAAAGAACUUUGAAAAGAGAGUUAAACAGUACGUGAAAUUGUCAAAAGGGAAGCGUUUGACACCAGUGUUGUUUUUCUGAAAAUCAAUUAAAGAACUGUUUAUGCUAAGCUGUUUAGACUUUAUCAGCUAUCUGUUUAGUUUUGAGCUUUUCUUUAAUGCACUUUUCAGUUAACAAGUCAACAUCAAUUUCUUUUGCUGUAAAAAAGCUUGAGGAAGGUGGCUUGAGAUUCGUCUUAAGUGUUUAUAGCCUCUUGCCUAUGCAGUCGGAGAGAUUGAGGUCUGCAGCGUAGAUCCCUCGGGGCUAAAUGCAUUUGUGCUAAGUUAUAGCAUUUUAUAGACAACUUGUUGACUAUGAUUUGUCUUGUAGCUUACUCGCUUAUGUUACUUUUACCUACGCUUAGGAUGUUGAGUCGUAGAGCACGCAG